AAAGAAAACCUCAACUGCUCGAAGCUCAGA
This 30-nucleotide non-coding RNA is filed under the name Rattus norvegicus (Norway rat). The record is from RNAcentral. Lineage: Eukaryota; Metazoa; Chordata; Mammalia; Rodentia; Muridae.